Small nucleolar RNA from Gossypium raimondii (Peruvian cotton), 103 nucleotides. It matches the Rfam family "Plant small nucleolar RNA R71". From Rfam's summary of the family: R71 is a member of the C/D box family of snoRNAs containing the C (UGAUGA) and D (CUGA) box motifs. Multiple nearly identical copies of this snoRNA have been identified in Arabidopsis, and it is thought to function as a 2'-O-ribose methylation guide for 18S ribosomal RNA. The record is from Rfam. Lineage: Eukaryota; Viridiplantae; Streptophyta; Magnoliopsida; Malvales; Malvaceae.
AUUCCAUGAUGUAGGCAUUUUCGUAAUAAUUGUACCUUUCCCAUGCCUCAUAAAAGGACUCGUCAUCUAUUUGUUGGAAAGUAGUGAUCUUGUUCCUCAACUU